RNAcentral lists this ribosomal RNA (468 nucleotides) under uncultured bacterium. RNAcentral describes it as "partial 16S ribosomal RNA". It matches the Rfam family "Bacterial small subunit ribosomal RNA", at positions 28 to 507 of the family's 1533-position model. The record is from RNAcentral.
GACGAACGCUGGCGGCGUGCUUAACACAUGCGAGUCGAACGGAAAGGCCCUGCUUUUGUGGGGUGCUCGAGUGGCGAACGGGUGAGUAACACGUGAGUAACCUGCCCUUGACUUUGGGAUAACUUCAGGAAACUGGGGCUAAUACCGGAUAGGAGCUCCUGCUGCAUGGUGGGGGUUGGAAAGUUUCGGCGGUUGGGGAUGGACUCGCGGCUUAUCAGCUUGUUGGUGGGGUAGUGGCUUACCAAGGCUUUGACGGGUAGCCGGCCUGAGAGGGUGACCGGCCACAUUGGGACUGGGAUACGGCCCAGACUCCUACGGGAGGCAGCAGUGGGCAAUAUGGCACAAUGGGCGGAAGCCUGAUGCAGCAACGCCGCGUGCGGGAUGACGGCCUUCGGGUUGUAAACCGCUUUCGCCUGUGACGAGGCGUGAGUGACGGUAAUGGGUAAAGAAGCACCGGCUAACUACGUG